Aegilops tauschii subsp. strangulata is the source of this 2896-nucleotide long non-coding RNA. RefSeq lists it as uncharacterized. The record is from RefSeq and is a predicted model, not a curated record. NCBI's taxonomy places the organism in Eukaryota, Viridiplantae, Streptophyta, Magnoliopsida, Poales, Poaceae.
UAUGAAGCGUGCAACUGCGCUCGGGUUGAGUAUAGGACUUUCGAACUUGUCCAACCUACAGCCGCCGCGAGAUCGAGUCGCCUCCGCUCGUGCUUCGUCUCCGACCACGGCGACUUCGUCCUCCGUCUCCCUCCUCUUCGGAUUUGGAAAGAUGCCGACAUCUAUGAGAUGCGGUGAUGAUCUCACAAGGAGUACAAAUGAGGAGCUAAUAACCAGCAAGGCUGACUCGAAGCCGAGCUCAAAUGAGAACCUAAGAACUUGCAAUAGUGUUGGAAAGUUGAUUGAGUCAUUGCCUCCAGGUUCAGGUGCUACUGAUACUGCCGGACUUGGCAGCUCUAGUGGUUCUGCUCGAGAUGUCUCCGACUGUUCCGGUGGAGCUCCAUCCAAAACGACCCGUGGUGUCGUCUGGAUUUACUUGUUUGAUGGAGACACCAUUGUGUUUUUAUGCUCCGGCCUUCCUAUAGAACACAAUCCGUCUUGCACAAAAGUGUUGACCUCAACAAAUUUGGCUGCAGCUAUGAGGGACAAAACAAAAUCCAGCUCUGCCAUGAAGAUUCAAGUGCGCGAUGCAUUUAGUAAUGUUGCCCCUGGGUGCUUGGAGGAAUGUGAGUAAGAUGACGGGACUGUUAGGGCUGCUGUUGUCAAAGUGACAGGGUUCCUUGAUGUUUGUGAAGUACAUCUCCACCAUGGGUUGGAAAUUCCGCCCCUCAUUGUCGUAGUAGCCGUACACUUUAAUGACUCUGGUGGAGCGACGGCUGUAAAAGAGAUCCUGAGUAAAAAAGUUUCAACGCCUUCCGAGACUGUGCUUUGCAAGGCUGGUGAUGGCGAGCCACUCUUUGACGGUGAUGGGAACUUUGUUGGCAUGGUUAUUUUUUCCGAUGGCAGGCAUGUUUAUGUGCAAGGAAGUGUAAUUUUUGAAAAUUUGGUGGAAUUUGCAAGAAGGAUUAGGGUACGCGUGCGACAGCAGGAACGAUAUAGACGUUCUAUGAGCGAAAAAGGCAAGCGCCGGUGCCGACAUGAUGUCUAUGAUGAUCCAGUAAAGAGAAAGAGAACCUUCUUGUGAUCUGGAAGAGGCGAUGGCACUAGGUUCAGGAAGAGCGGGCUGGCGCGAGAAGUGGCGCAGGAGCCCUGGCGUAAGCGGGAAGAUUUGAACGAGUCAAGUGGGUCGCGUUGUAAGUCAUGGGCCUUCGGCCGGAGUCGGUGUGUGUGUGUGGGCUUGCGAUUUAUAAGCAAGCGAGGACACUGUAGAUGAUCAAGUUUGAAAUUCUGAGCCUCUCGCUGUCUCUCUCUCGUCCUCUCUGUUCUUAUCCUCUCCCGAGCUACUUUCCCCUUCUCCUCACCAUGGCCUCGCCUCCUUGUCUCUCCCAGUAGCUACCUCACCGUCGGCGACUCGGUCCGCUCCACGGUCGUGACAUUUUCUUCUAUGGUUAACUAAUAAGGUACUAAUGUGUUGUUUAGUAGUACCACCUUAGGUACGUUUAGCCUUAUUACAUAUGUCCAUCAGUAUCUCAUAGUUAGCUUUUUUAAUGAAUCUUGUCCAUCAGCAUCUCUUACUUCAGCUCCUUUAAUGAAUCUGCUGAGUGCUUGUCUUUUUUUUUUUUGGUGAAGCAGGCCUGUCUAAUCUAUUAUGGUUAUUUUGGAUUCAUUUCAAUACAUACAUUGUUUGGUUGCUUCAACCUACUUUGAAUUUGAAGGCUUGCUGUUUACUGUACAGAUAACGACAGAUGGCCAGUGCAAGCCAAUUUAGUAUCAUCCCUAGAAUAAUGAUAAAGUUUUGGUUCAUGUGACUCAUGCUUGUCUAUGGGGUAGUGAUCAGCAAAAUCAAUCAUGACUUUGGUUGAACCAUGUAUGCUCAAUCCAGUCAAAACAGCUAUCAAUAUUCAGUAAAAAAUAAAAACAGCUAUCAAUAAGUGGAGUCUGUCUAGUGUAACGUUGCAUCCUUGUAUAUUGUUCACAAACUAAGUUUUUUUUUUUGGGAGAUGCACAUGAGUAUUGAAUUGAAUGUUUCUGAUCUUAGAUAUUAGAAAGAGGAAAUCUUAGUACAACAAAUAUCACUACCCCUAUAUAAAGCACCAUUGUCUCUGGAAUCCAAACAAUCUCAGCCAUACGCUUCAUGUUAACAAUAAACGUUGGACUAAUGCUAAUUGUCCCUUAAUCUCACGCUUAAUGUCCCCUGCAAAUCUCUCCUCAUUCGGUUCAAGGUGCUCCCCUCCCCUCUGGGGCUCUGUUCAAACUGUUCAAGGGAUGUGAUAUAAAAUUAAAACACCAUUUCGUAGACAUGGAUGGGGGGCCACCUGAAUGCAAGAAGGAAGUAAUGAAAUAUUAUAUUUGGGCCUGUGUAGCAAAUAUACUAAUGUGUAAUCUGUAGCUUUUAGUUUCCCUUCACUUGUAGCAGGAACAUGUGAGCUCUGCGAUACCAAAUUACGUGAAGUGGUAGAAAACUGAGCUAUGUUAGCUCAGUUUGUUGGCAUUCAUCCUAAUCAUUUCAUAUUCAGUUCAAAUUUUUCUAUGAAAACCUUAUCUCCAUGAGUGCUUACAGAUGCUAAUUGCAUACAAGUAUGUACAAGAUAUGUAGAGGAGUUUCUAUCACUGAUUUGUAUAGUACUGAGUUGAAUAUAUGAGCUUCUAGCUAAUAGUGGGGGCUAAACUGGAUUCCUUAAUGGAAAAGAAACAAUCAGCUGGAAGUUCCUAUAUUAUCUUUCUCCCUUUCUUAGCUAAAAUAGACUUUUCUCUCUAAAAGUGAAUAUUCCACACAAUUCUAGGCCAAAUCAGUUCUCGCUUGUCUUGAUUAAUAGUUUAUCCAAGCUGCUCCAACAAAACCUAACGAACUCACUAGCCAGUCUCAAUACAAGUUAAACCGUGUGUUUAUGUGCAGGUGCGUCAGCAAUUACAGAAA